RNAcentral lists this ribosomal RNA (156 nucleotides) under uncultured bacterium. Its description in RNAcentral is "partial 16S ribosomal RNA". It matches the Rfam family "Bacterial small subunit ribosomal RNA", at positions 355 to 504 of the family's 1533-position model. The record is from RNAcentral.
UGGGGAAUCUUGCGCAAUGCGCGAAAGCGUGACGCAGCAACGCCGCGUGGGGGAAGACGGCCUUCGGGUUGUAAACCCCUUUCAGUUGGGACGAAUCUGCAGGGCUAAUACCCAUGCAGUCUGACGGUACCUGAGGAAUAAGCACCGGCUAACUCC